AGGACGAACGCUGGCGGCGUGCUUAACACAUGCAAGUCGAGCGGAAAGGCCCUUCGGGGUACUCGAGCGGCGAACGGGUGAGUAACACGUGAGUAACCUGCCCCUAGCUAUGGGAUAGCUCCGGGAAACCGGGAUUAAAUACCAGAUACGACCACUUUAGACAUCUGUCGUGGUGGAAAGGAUUCCGGCUAGGGAUGGGCUCGCGGCCUAUCAGCUUGUUGGUGGGGUAACGGCCUACCAAGGCGACGACGGGUA
This 255-nucleotide ribosomal RNA is filed under the name uncultured bacterium. RNAcentral describes it as "partial small subunit ribosomal RNA". It matches the Rfam family "Bacterial small subunit ribosomal RNA", at positions 26 to 285 of the family's 1533-position model. The record is from RNAcentral.